Molecule: ribosomal RNA, 253 nt
Filed under: uncultured bacterium
Lineage: Bacteria
Description: partial 16S ribosomal RNA
Rfam family: Bacterial small subunit ribosomal RNA
Source: RNAcentral
UACGUAGGCAGCAAGCGUUGUUCGGAAUUACUGGGCGUAAAGGGCUCGUAGGCGGCCAACUAAGUCGGAUGUGAAAUCCCCAGGCUUAACUUGGGAACUGCAUCCGAUACUGGAUGGCUUGAAUCCGGGAGAGGGAUGCGGAAUUCCAGGUGUAGCGGUGAAAUGCGUAGAUAUCUGGAGGAACACCGGUGGCGAAGGCGGCAUCCUGGACCGGCAUUGACGCUGAUGAGCGAAAGCCAGGGGAGCAAACGGG